Molecule: long non-coding RNA, 378 nt
Filed under: Equus caballus (horse)
Lineage: Eukaryota; Metazoa; Chordata; Mammalia; Perissodactyla; Equidae
Description: lncRNA (ENSECAG00000043290.2)
Source: RNAcentral
CCCUCCCUGCCCAGAGCGCUGCCUCAGGCCCACUCUAGGAAUAAGAGGACUGAGGCCAUAGACGCCUCCACCAGGAAGCCCUCUGGGAAGAAGACGGCCUCUGCGUCCCAGCUCUGUCCAGUGGCCUCCAAGGUCCCCACCCAGCAUCAGCCCUGAGCAUGAGCAGGCAUCGUGUGGGGGGUAAGCCGUUGGCAAGGCCACUUGGCUCUACCUUCAAGACAUACCAGAGCCUAACGCGUCCCGCCGCCUGGUCCCCUCCCGCUGGGACCUGCGCCCACCUCCUCACCGGCCCCUCCUCUGCACACAACCUCUGGAAAACCUUAAUCAGGUCAUAUCCCCGUCUUGGCCAGGCCCCCCGGGCUGCCGUCUCACUCCAAU